Molecule: ribosomal RNA, 469 nt
Filed under: Vibrio sp.
Lineage: Bacteria; Pseudomonadati; Pseudomonadota; Gammaproteobacteria; Vibrionales; Vibrionaceae
Description: bacterial SSU rRNA
Rfam family: Bacterial small subunit ribosomal RNA
Source: RNAcentral
CGGACGGGUGAGUAAUGCCUAGGAAAUUGCCCUGAUGUGGGGGAUAACCAUUGGAAACGAUGGCUAAUACCGCAUAAUACCUACGGGUCAAAGAGGGGGACCUUCGGGCCUCUCGCGUCAGGAUAUGCCUAGGUGGGAUUAGCUAGUUGGUGAGGUAAUGGCUCACCAAGGCGACGAUCCCUAGCUGGUCUGAGAGGAUGAUCAGCCACACUGGAACUGAGACACGGUCCAGACUCCUACGGGAGGCAGCAGUGGGGAAUAUUGCACAAUGGGCGCAAGCCUGAUGCAGCCAUGCCGCGUGUGUGAAGAAGGCCUUCGGGUUGUAAAGCACUUUCAGUCGUGAGGAAGGUAGUGUAGUUAAUAGCUGCAUUAUUUGACGUUAGCGACAGAAGAAGCACCGGCUAACUCCGUGCCAGCAGCCGCGGUAAUACGGAGGGUGCGAGCGUUAAUCGGAAUUACUGGGCGUAAA